UUAUGGUUGUAAAGCACUUAAGCGAGGAGGAUGCUACCAGUUAAUACCUAGAGAUAGUGGACGUUACUCGCAGAAUAAGCACCGGCUAACUCUGUGCCAGCAGCCGCGGUAAUACAGAGGGUGCAAGCGUUAAUCGGAUUUACUGGGCGUAAAGCGCGCGUAGGCGGCUAAUUAAGUCAAAUGUGAAAUCCCCGAGCUUAACUUGGGAAUUGCAUUCGAUACUGGUUAGCUAGAGUGUGGGAGAGGAUGGUAGAAUUCCAGGUGUAGCGGUGAAAUGCGUAGAGAUCUGGAGGAAUACCGAUGGCGAAGGCAGCCAUCUGGCCUAACACUGACGCUGAGGUGCGAAAGCAUGGGGAGCAAACAGGAUUAGAUACCCUGGUAGUCCAUGCCGUAAACGAUGUCUACUAGCCGUUGGGGCCUUUGAGGCUUUAGUGGCGCAGCUAACGCGAUAAGUAGACCGCCUGGGGAGUACGGUCGCAAGACUAAAACUCAAAUGAAUUGACGGGGGCCCGCACAAGCGGUGGAGCAUGUGGUUUAAUUCGAUGCAACGCGAAGAACCUUACCUGGCCUUGACAUAGUAAGAACUUUCCAGAGAUGGAUUGGUGCCUUCGGGAACUUACAUACAGGUGCUGCAUGGCUGUCGUCAGCUCGUGUCGUGAAAUGUUGGGUUAAGUCCC
This 677-nucleotide ribosomal RNA is filed under the name uncultured bacterium. RNAcentral describes it as "bacterial SSU rRNA". It matches the Rfam family "Bacterial small subunit ribosomal RNA", at positions 417 to 1088 of the family's 1533-position model. The record is from RNAcentral.